This 1001-nucleotide long non-coding RNA is filed under the name Piliocolobus tephrosceles (Ugandan red Colobus). RNAcentral describes it as "lncRNA (ENSPTEG00000024824.1)". Lineage: Eukaryota; Metazoa; Chordata; Mammalia; Primates; Cercopithecidae. The record is from RNAcentral.
AAAACGAAACGGCGCUCCAGCAGAUUGAGUGGAAAAAGCUGUGUCUGUUUUCUCUGUUUUUUUACACUAGAACGGUCUUGUAAACAUUGCUGCUUUUAAAAUGACCUACCCCGGGAAGUUUGGGCACACUUCUGUCCUGGGAUCAUCGUUUCUAGGUGGCUUCUGACCUGGGACUUUGAUUUUCUGUAUCUGUACAUUGUCGUUUUAUACACAAUUGCCAAGGUGGAACUGUUGUCAACUUUACUGUGCUUGAAGCUGCAAAGGUGACGUUGCCACCGUUCUACCCUGACGUUUCCUGGAAUAAUGCUGAGGACUGCCUGUGGGGUAGCCGCUGCAUUCAGUUCACUGCAUCUCGGAAACACCUGACCGCUGCCUUGGAUCCAGCGGCCCUCCUGAGAGCUGAGGAAGCAGGAACUCCUAUGUGUCUGCUCCCGGAGCUGCCACAACCCAUUUUCCUGCAACUCGGAACUUGGAAAAAGGAACCCAGGACAUCACUUUGCUUUUGUUUUGGACCUAGUUGGUGAUUAUACUCUCUCUUCCAUGGAGACUACCUCUUGCAUCCUUCCUUCUAUAUGAGAUUUAGGAUAGAAAUUAAAAAGAAAACAUCUUAUUUUGAGUCUUGAUUUGGAGAAAGGUAGUAUUCGGGGAGAAGCAGGCUAUGAUACACACAGAAAAUUCGAGGACAGAGUUACUUAACAAGGACAUUUCUGUCUCUGCAGCAGUCACAGCUUGGAGGAAACCAGUUCGCACUAUUUGAUGAGGAAUUUGGCCACCAAACCACUGAUACUUUCUCAAAGGUUUGGCAGAAAUUGUUUUUCGAGUGACUCACCAAAGUCCCUAGAAGAAUCAGCGUGGAAUUAGAGGACAGUGGCCUACCCUCGUCAAGGACAGGAGUGACACGUGAAGUCUAGUGUCAAUUUAUUCAGAAAAUAUCAAAAUUAUUUUGGGAGCUAUGGGUCAGAGUUGAUAGGCACAAACAAAUAAACAAACAAACAAAAACA